Molecule: long non-coding RNA, 3053 nt
Organism: Carassius gibelio (silver crucian carp)
Lineage: Eukaryota; Metazoa; Chordata; Actinopteri; Cypriniformes; Cyprinidae
Exons: 3
Source: RefSeq, a predicted model, not a curated record
ACUUUUUGAGUACUUUCACGUCAUUGUCUCAAUGGUGCAUACGUUUUUGUAAAGGUACACCAAUGCAUUUGUAAAAUAUAGCAUUGACUGAUCGCCAACUUUGCAUUUAUUUGCUAUUUACUAUAAAAUUUUGUCAAUUUGGGAUUAGCAUGCUAGGAUAGUACAUACAUACAGUGUUUAUAUUCAAAGAACAUGGCAGGUGAGAGUUCUGUGGAGGAUUUCACAUUGAAUUGUGUUUUUAUUUACUCAAAUACCUAGCAAAAGUGUUAAAAGCCAGGUGAGUAUUUUAUUUUUAUUUUUUACAUAAAGCCCACAUAGAAUAGGACAGCCAAAAUAUAGGGUUUUUCCUUUGUUGUGUUUUUGAAGUGCUCUCAUGCACGUUUUAACAAAACUUAAGCACUUUCCUGCUGUGUCAUAUUUUCUAAUGUUAAGAUUGCAAACCUGUCUAUAUAUUAUUAUAUAAGUGUUCCAGUUUUCUCGUUUUAGUACUAUCCUGGAGAAAGUCUGCUGGGAAAAGAUUUUAAAAAUUCUAAGUUUAUAGACACAUUUUUGCUGAAAUUCAUUGUGGUGUUGUUGUUAACAAGCAUGGUUCAUUUGCCAAGCGUCCUGGGACAGGUGAGGGAGUGAGAGUCCUGGGAAAGGUAAGGGAGUGAGUGUCCUUGGACAUGUGAGGGGGCGAGUGUCCUGGGACAGGUGAGGUCCCAGGUGAGGGAGUGAGUAUCCUGGGACAGGUGAGGGAGUGAGUGUCCUGGGACAGGCGAGGGAGUGAGUUUGCUUGGACAGGUGAGGGGGCGAGUGUCCUGGGACAGGUGAGGUCCCAGGUGGGGGAGUGAGUGUCCUGAGACAGGUGAGGGAGUGAGUGUCCUUGGACAGGUGAGGGGGCGAGUGUCCUGGGACAGGUGAGGUCCCAGGUGAGGGAGCGAGUAUCCUGGGACAGGUGAGGGAGUGAGUGUCCUGGGACAGGCGAGGGAGUGAGUUUCCUGGGACAGACAGGUGAGGGGGCGAGUGUUCUGGGACAGGUGAGGGGGCGAGUGUCCUGGGACAGGUGAGGUCCCAGGUGGGGGAGUGAGUGUCCUUGGACAGGUGAGGGGGCGAGUGUCCUGGGACAGGUGAGGUCCCAGGUGAGGGAGCGAGUAUCCUGGGACAGGUGAGGGAGUGUGUGUCCUGGGACAGGCGAGGGAGUGAGUUUCCUGGGACAGACAGGUGAGGGGGCGAGUGUUCUGGGACAGGUGAGGGGGCGAGUGUCCUGGGACAGGUGAGGUCCCAGGUGGGGGAGUGAGUGUCCUUGGACAGGUGAGGGGGCGAGUGUCCUGGGACAGGUGAGGUCCCAGGUGAGGGAGCGAGUAUCCUGGGACAGGUGAGGGAGUGUGUGUCCUGGGACAGGCGAGGGAGUGAGUUUCCUGGGACAGACAGGUGAGGGGGCGAGUGUCCUGGGACAUUUUUCUUCUCUCCUCUCCUCUCUCUCGCUCCAGUUUUUCACAAGUUCAUCAAACAACUGUGGUAAGAAUAUUUCAUCAAGGGCUAGUGAUGAUAUGGCUUUGGAUGCGUCUAGCUCAGGGAUUCCUGUACAUUGUUCGGUUCCGGCAACACAGCCCAUGCAGCAGGGCAACUGGGUGACAGUGAGGCAGCGUAGUCAUGGGUCAAAACACCGCUCUUCUGUUCCGAUCAAAACAUUUAACAGGUUCUCCCCACUCAGUGUUGCACCUACUGAGAAACCUGAUGAAAGUGCUCUAGUUAUUGGUGAUUCUAUUGUACGGAACGUGAAUAUAGAGACACCAGCCACCAUAGUCCACUGUUUACCGGGGCCCAGAGCACCUGACAUCUUGGCAAAUUUAAAAGUGCUGGCUAAUGCUAAACGUAAAUACAGUAAGAUUGUUAUUUCAUGCCGGCGCUAAUGAUGUUCGACUUCGCCAGUCGGAGAUCACUAAAAAUAACUUUAAAGAGGUGUGUGAAUUUGCAAGCAUGAUGUCAGACACUGUAAUAUGCUCUGGUCCCCUCCCUGCUUACAUGGUGAUGAUAUGCAUAGCAGAUUGUCAUCACUCAAUGGCUGGAUGUCUAAGUUGUGCCCACAGAAUAACAUAGGUUUCAUAGACAAUUGGACGAGCUUUUGGGGCAGACCUGACCUGUUUAAAAGAGAUGGUCUUCAUCCCUCCUGGGGUGGCGCCACUCUUCUCUCUAGAAAUAUGGCAAAUAGUCUUAGUGUUUAUACUUGACUAACUGGGGCCCAGGUCAGGAAGCAGACAGACUGGCUAAACCGACCGUCUGCUAGCUGCCUCCCGUCACAGAGGUCAGUUAAUUCUCAGCACAUAGAGACUCUUUCACCUAGAUAUCACACUAUAGAGACUGUGUCUCUUCCCCGAACUAGAACAUUUCCAAACCAAGUUGAGUAACAAUUUAAUUGAGGUUCAACAAACAGAUGCAAUACGGAUAAACAAAUAAUAAAGCUUGGCUUAUUGAAUAUCAGAUCCAUUUCUAUGAAAACACUUUUUGUAAAUAAUAUGAUCACUGAUCAUAAUCUAGAUGUGCUCUGUUUGACAGAAACCUGGCUAAAACCUGAUGAUUACAUUAUUUUAAAUGAGUCCACCCCCACAUACAGGUGAGGGGGUGAGUGUCCUGGGACAGACAGGUGAGGGGGCGAGUGGAAGCUGAUCUAGCUGCUCAGGGAGGACAUCAAACUCCAAAGUGAGGCAGAGGAGAGAAGAGCACAAGUUUUCUUUUAUUUGAGAGAAUGCUUAACAAAUACAUUCUUCAUUAGCCAAAAGAAAACAGUGGGAAAAAAAUUGGUACAUUACAGUUUUUUAAUGUCUUUUUUAAAUGUCAUAUUGUCAAUGAAACAACCUAAUUUCUGUAGUUUAUUUUUGUGAUGCAAGUUAAAAAUGAAAUGCAUACUUAUUCAUUUUCUGUGUGUAAUUUAUUCGUAAAUAAGCCUGAGUACUCUCUGUACAUUUUGUAUUUUUGUUUUGCAUAUUUACAUGUGUAAAUAAAAGAGAAAAACUUAUGUAUAUUUGUUUUUAUUCAGCUUAUAAUUUUUUCACAAAACAUUAUUUUAUGUU